AACGGUAACAGGGGCUUCGGCCCGCUGACGAGUGGCGGACGGGUGAGUAAUGCAUCGGAACGUACCCAGUUGUGGGGGAUAGCCCGGCGAAAGCCGGAUUAAUACCGCAUACGCCCUGAGGGGGAAAGCGGGGGAUCUUAGGACCUCGCGCAAUUGGAGCGGCUGAUGUCGGAUUAGCUAGUUGGUGGGGUAAAGGCCUACCAAGGCGACGAUCCGUAGCUGGUCUGAGAGGAUGAUCAGCCACACUGGGACUGAGACACGGCCCAGACUCCUACGGGAGGCAGCAGUGGGGAAUUUUGGACAAUGGGGGAAACCCUGAUCCAGCCAUGCCGCGUGAGUGAAGAAGGCCUUCGGGUUGUAAAGCUCUUUCAGGUGGAAAGAAAUGGUGCUCUCUAAUAUAGGGCAUUGAUGACGGUACCACCAGAAGAAGCACCGGCUAACUACGUGCCAGCAGCCGCGGUAAUACGUAGGGUGCGAGCGUUAAUCGGAAUUACUGGGCGUAAAGCGUGCGCAGGCGGUUGUGUAAGACAGGUGUGAAAUCCCCGGGCUUAACCUGGGAACUGCGCUUGUGACUGCACGGCUAGAGUACGGCAGAGGGGGGUGGAAUUCCACGUGUAGCA
This 620-nucleotide ribosomal RNA is filed under the name uncultured beta proteobacterium. RNAcentral describes it as "bacterial SSU rRNA". It matches the Rfam family "Bacterial small subunit ribosomal RNA", at positions 65 to 680 of the family's 1533-position model. The record is from RNAcentral. Lineage: Bacteria; Pseudomonadati; Pseudomonadota; Betaproteobacteria.